This 256-nucleotide ribosomal RNA is filed under the name uncultured bacterium. Its description in RNAcentral is "partial 16S ribosomal RNA". It matches the Rfam family "Bacterial small subunit ribosomal RNA", at positions 524 to 776 of the family's 1533-position model. The record is from RNAcentral.
UACGUAGGUGGCAAGCGUUGUCCGGAAUUAUUGGGCGUAAAGCGCGCGCAGGCGGCUUCUUAAGUCUGAUGUGAAAUCUCGGGGCUCAACCCCGAGCGGCCAUUGGAAACUGGGAAGCUUGAGUAACAGAAGAGGAGAGUGGAAUUCCACGUGUAGCGGUGAAAUGCGUAGAUAUGUGGAGGAACACCAGUGGCGAAGGCGACUCUCUGGUCUGUAACUGACGCUGAGGCGCGAAAAGCGUGGGGGAGCAAACAGG